This is a long non-coding RNA of Vidua chalybeata, 3637 nucleotides long. RefSeq lists it as uncharacterized. NCBI's taxonomy places the organism in Eukaryota, Metazoa, Chordata, Aves, Passeriformes, Viduidae. The transcript is spliced from 9 exons. The record is from RefSeq and is a predicted model, not a curated record.
UCCGAGAGAUAAGUCGAGGGCUACGACCUUGAGAGGGGAUGAAAGGGAGGCACUGGGAGGGCUUUUUGAAUCAGCUUUGGUGGCAGGGAUGUGCAAGAAGUAUCCACUUAGGCCACCUAAAGGGAAAGUGUUUCUUUUGAUCACAGUGCUGAGGUGCUCAGGGCAGAGCAGUCCUGGUGUGUGUUGUGUCACUUGUCUAUUGUGCAUUCUGUGUGUUUGGGUAUUUCGUGUCACAUGUCUUUUUUACCUUAGCCCUUUGAGGGCCCUAUCGGAAAGCCCGGCCUCAUUUUUGGCAUCCGCGAUCUCCGCAUUCCUUGGACGGGCACCGGUGCAAUAGGACUCUUGAUUCUGGAGGUCAGACAGGCAUCUGAAUUGCAUCUCGCUUUAGAAGCAUCCAGUCAGAUGUCUUUUAAGGUCUUGCUCUGAGCUGUGUCGACAGCCACACACCGCAAUGAUCCCUUAUAGCCGAUUAGGACCGAUAAGAAUGCAAAGCUAGCUAGAGCCUUCGGACCAUAAAAUUGUUGGACAUUCAUCUUUGCAGUUCUCUUAAGAAAUCAUUCUGUUAGCAUCUUGUUCCUGCAGGGUUCUCUGAGCCUCAUCAGCUCUGAGCGGUCCGUCUUACCUAGGUCAUCUCGUUCCGCAUUCUCCCGGCGCUCGCCGGCAUUCUUCUCACCGAGAGCUCUCUCUCCCUGUCGAGUCCCCUUGUUUGUCACGUUCUGUCCUGUGUCACGGGUGUCUGCACGUAUUUGUCCCGGAACUGCUCUGCCCUGCUGCAUAGCCUGUAACGGGACAAGUCCCAGGAGUUGAAAUUUCUGAUGCGGGGUGUAGUUGGGCUCUAGAUUGUAUUUGUAGAUUGACAUGUUUGGUGCUGUUAAGUUAUCCUGCAGCCAUUUGACAUUACUCCUACCUUUCUUUCAGAUGCAGGCGGAUUAAAUCUGUGGCAGAGCCCCCAAUCCCGGGUCAAGGGGUUUUCCCUGAGAAGGAAGUCCAGGCAGAUAGCUGCAGCCAAGGCCAAGUGUGCCAGGCCAUCCACUCGGUGUACGCUAAGCCCAUGUCAUCAGGUGGCGGACGGACCGGGUUUCCUGCACUCGUGAGCCCUCCGGAAGUAUGAUGGGACCCCGUGAUGAAGCCCACACAUCUUGUAUUUCAAGGUCCCAUCUGGGUAGCUCACGGGAACGGCCGAGGAGCUGCGGUGAGUCGGGGAGGUAGGGAGGAGGAGAGGGGGUCCACUCCAGUUUCAGCUGUGCCCAGUCACCUUGUCUCCACUUAACCUAGGCGUACCUCGUGACGGCAGCGUCGGCCUCGGAGCACGGCCGAAGCGUGCGGCCCAAACGCCAGGGCCCUCUUAGGAGAAGACGAAGAGAUAAGAGCCUGGUGACAGCUGGAACUUCCCAGACGGGGAAGUGGCCUUCUUUUGCACUUGACAGGGAUUUGCACACCCAGAAGUGUGCAAGAUAAGUUGAGGGCUAUGACCCACUGAGGGGAGGGAAGCGGGGUGCUGGCUUGGGACUGCCUGGAAGGGAUUUUGGAGUCUGCUUUGGAGAUGGGGAUGUCUAAGAAGUGUCUCGUUAGGCCACCUAAAGGGAAAGUGUCUCUUUUGAUCUCAGUGCUGAGGUGCGCAGGGCAGAGCAGUUCCGGUGUGUGUCGUGUCACUUGUCUCUUGUGCAUUCUGUGUUGUUUGGGUCUGUCACGUCGCUUGUCUUUUUUUUACCUUAGCUGUCUGAGGGUCAUCUUGGCAUCUGUGAUCUUUGCGUUCCUCGGACCAGCCCCAACGCCACAGGCCUUUUGACUCGGGAGUCCCAACAGGCAUCGCAGUCGUAUCUGUCUUUAGAAGCAUCCGGUCAGAUGUCUUUUAAGGUCUCGUUCCGAGCGGUAGCGACAGCCGCGCACGCCAAUGAUCCAUUAUAGCGGCUUAGGACUUGUGAGAAUGCCAAGCUAGGUAGCUCAUUCUUACCGUAGGCUUUUCAGGCAUCCGCUUGUGCAGUUCUCGGAAGACAUCGUUUUCUUAGCAUCUUCUUCCUGCAGGGUUCUUUGAGCCUCAUCAGCUCCGAGCCGUCCGUCUCACCUAGGUCAUCUCGUUCCGCAAUCUCUCUGUCCUCGCGGGCAUUUUUCUCGCCAAGAGAUUUUUCUCCUCGUGGCGUCCCCUCGUUUGUCAUGUCCUGUCCUGUGUCACGGGUGUCUGCACAUAUUUGUCCCGGAGCUGCUCUGUCCUGCUGCAUAGCCUGGUGUAAUUGCACAAGUCCUGGAGACCUGCAAUUGGGAAUGGGGGAUGUAGUUGUAUUCUAGAUGGUAUUCCUAGAUUCACACAGGAUCCUUGGACCUGUUAAGUUAUCCUACAGUUGUUUGAAUUUUCUCCUAACUUUCUUUCAGAUGCAGACAUUUAAGAUCUGUGGCAGAGCGCCCCUCCUGGGUCAGGGGGUUUUCCCUGAGAAGGAAGUCCAGGCAGAUAGCUGCAGUCAAGGCCAAGUGUGUCAGGCAGUCCUCUUGCGAGAUGUCUCUGAUCCCAGAUGUCUGAGGCCAGGUGUCAUUGCUGCCCUAGGCGUGUGAAGGAACAGAGUCAAGCGGGUAUCCUCCUGGCAGCCUGUUGAGUCGCGUCAAGAUUUCAGGUACCGUGAGGAGGCGCAUAGCUGAAGUUUGGAAACGGCAGCACCGAAGUGGAUGUAGAGAACGUGUCGCCGUCCACGUCCGGCUGACGAUGGAUUUUGUCCGGUCGUCUUGCAAAAGCUAAUUGUCGGGGCCAGUAGGUGGGAGAAGGGGAAAAACCUUUACUAUCACAGGAGACAAUUUGAUGUUAGCUUAGAGGAGAGGCCCAUAGUGGGACGGGCCCCUUGGAAGCAGAGGGAGAGGGUUUCUCCUCAGCCUCACCAGAGUCUUCGCCGGGCAGGGCAGUUCCGAUCCAUCUUCGCGUCCUCGUGAGGUUUGCGUCGGCGGCCUUCUUCGACUCUCGAUGUCGUCGUGGAUCUUUUCACCCGAGGAGCCCGCCUUCACGUCCAGAGCUAUAGCCACGGUCACGCCGUAGUCAUCGCUUUCUUGUCUAGGCCUACUGAGCUUCUUAGGCUUCCUCUUAAGUCCUUUGGCACUAACAUCUUGAAAGGAGUUAAAUUUCAUCAUCACAUGCUAUUGCCCUAGGGCUUUCUUUCCUUUGGCAUCAUCGGCCUAUGACUCAUCUUGGACUAGCAAUCUUGGGUCCAUAAGGUGGAACUGCCAGGCAGUUUCCACUCGUGUCCGUGUUAUGUCGUCCGUGUCAUGUCGUCCGUGUCCGUGUUAUGUCGUCCGUGUCCAUUGAUUUCUGCGUCAUAUGCCUUUGUUACAUCUCGAGGCUUUAUCGGCAUUGUUCUCUGCCGUAUCGGCCAUAUUUUACUCGUGUACCUUCCUGGAUAUCGCUUAUUCCAGCAUCGUUACAUUUUUACUUAUUGAGACGGGAAGAAGUACAGGAGACGUUCUCAUUCAUCUUCCUUCUUACCUUUGGUAGCGCCUUCUCUUCCCGUGCUAUUCUCUUGGACUUCUAGAGGGAGCGUAUUAGACCCUCAUCACCUGACCGCAGUAGUUCCGUAGCUUGCGCCUUCUCAAAGGGUAUAGGGCUCAACAAUUAAUCUUCCGGAGAGUUACGUCAAGUCCUCACUUAUAUUGUAUCUAC